This 326-nucleotide long non-coding RNA is filed under the name Mytilus galloprovincialis (Mediterranean mussel). The record is from RNAcentral. Lineage: Eukaryota; Metazoa; Mollusca; Bivalvia; Mytilida; Mytilidae.
UGAAUUUUUUAAUAUAGAAACUUUACUAUCUUUAUUUGAUACUUAUGUUACAAGUAUAAUGAAUUAUGCCAGUGAAGUCUGGGGCUUUCAUAAAGCCGAAGAUAUAGAAAAAUUGCAUUUGUAUUAUAUGAAAAGAAUUUUAAAAGUUAGAAAAGGAACUGUUAAUAACAUGGUAUAUUUUGAGUUAGGCAGAGUGCCCUUGUAUGUAAAUAGAUAUGUGAAAAUGGUAACCUACUGGUUGAGAUUGUUAGACACAGAGAACUGUAUUUUAAAACAUGUAUAUAAUGAUAUGUACGAAUCUAGUUGUGUGAAGCCAAAUGACAAGC